CAAGAAUACUGGAGUGGGCUGCCAUUUCCUUCAGCAGAUCUCCCCCGCGUCUCUCUCAUUGGCAGGCGCACGCUUCUCCACGGAGCCACCAGGGAAGCCGCAGUGCUACUCAAAGUACCAAUCUGCAAUGAGAAUACGGAGAUUGCACCAGAAUGUAAACCAACAUACUUGCUUCCUUCCUCCAGAAGUCUUGCCACAAAAACAAAAUUCUGGAGUUAACUGGCUCUGUGUUGGGAUAGUGGCUCUGUGAUGUCAUCAAGCCCAGGUUUGCUGUCUUCCCACUUGGCCGUCCUUGGCUGUUACUUCAUGGUCUCAGGUUGGUGACUCUGCUGUCAUAUUCAUAUUCCUAUUCCAGGCAGAAAAGAAGGAAGAGAAAAGAGCAACAGGCAUGUAGUAGCUAGUGGUGACCUCUUUUACAGAGUUUUAGCAAAUGGCCCACCAAUGAACUUCCACUCUUUUAUCACUUUGGCCAGAAAACUGAGGCAUGGUCACCUGUUGCAAGAUGGCUAUCUUCUCUCUCGGCUGAGCCACCAGAUAAGACUCUGCCUGACAAUGAAGGAGACACAGAUCUGCUUAUUCUGGACAUUCCCAUAAAUGGAAUCAUACGAUGUGUGGUCUUUUGUGUCUGGAUUCUUUCACUUAAUGUUUUCAAGGUCCUUCCAUGUAAGUCACAUGCAUCAGUACUUUAUUAUUAUUGUUAUUUUACAGGGUGAUAUUUCAUUGUACAAAUCUUGCUUUGACUUCAAGAUAUAAUUACUAUCAGGGAUUUUAUAUUAAUUCCCUGAUUCCUUAGAGAGGAACAGAAAAGCAUCCUGGAAUUCUAGUCCCAACUGUUGACCGUUAUGGACCUCAGUUGUGCAUCUAUAAAAUGGAAAGUUUUUCUUUUAUCCUUUAAGGACCCAGCUUAUAAGAAUCUCCACUGAAUCCCCUGAUUAUACUUUUUCCUGCAAUAAAAGGAAAUUUACCCAUAUUUGUUUCAAUUUUAUCUAAACUAGAUUUUUUCCCCUACAAGACGUAAAGUUUUUUCGCAUGUUCUUUUCUUUUUCAGUUAUUUCAAAAACAAUGAACUGAACUUUCAGAAGCAUCUAAAUGCAUAUAUGGAUCAUUUUGUAAACAACUAGGCUUGGAGACAAAUAAACAAAAAGAAUAAAUGUGAAAAAAUUUAGUUCUCCUGGAAAUGAUUCAAGGAUAAAGAAUAAAUACAACACCUAUUUGUGCCUGUCAGAUGAAGAAAGAGGAUACUGAUUAUUUCAAUCCUCAGUCUUUAAUGAGGGAGAAAUUUAUUCAUGCAAACAUACACGCAGUAAAUGUAUGCCAUUUCUAUUUGUGAGCCCAUAUGGUUCAGAAAUAGAAGAAUCUAGUAGUCAAACCCACCUGCAAAUUCCCCAAUCUACAUAAAAAAGACAAACCACACCCAUCAUGCCUAAUAACAAAUUCUUUUUGCAUCUGGUUUAACUGAGCUUAAAAAAGGAUGCCCUUCUCCUAUUAUAUAAUCUCAUUCCAGAAUCUGUCUCUUUCAUUCAAUUCACCGGGGACUCCGUGGGUGGGAGUUGAGAGUGUAGAUGUCAGAACUGAUUAUCCCACCACUGUGUAUUUUACAGUAGAGAAAAAGACCAAGAGCAGCUGGGUGAGAAGUAAAUAAGUAUGCGAUAUACAUAAAUGAAAAUAAAGGGGUUUGAAAGAAUAUGUAACAAACAUAU
Non-coding RNA from Odocoileus virginianus texanus, 1700 nucleotides. NCBI's taxonomy places the organism in Eukaryota, Metazoa, Chordata, Mammalia, Artiodactyla, Cervidae. The record is from RefSeq and is a predicted model, not a curated record.